Molecule: unclassified non-coding RNA, 7866 nt
Filed under: Hevea brasiliensis (rubber tree)
Lineage: Eukaryota; Viridiplantae; Streptophyta; Magnoliopsida; Malpighiales; Euphorbiaceae
Source: RNAcentral
CCAUAGCAUACAUGAUGCUACCAAUAACACUCGAAUAGGGAACACUAAACAUGUGAUCCAUCUCCUCAUCUAUUUUUAGUGACAUGUCUGCAGAUAACUUGAAAUGGGCAGCAAAUGGAACAAUCACAGGCUUAGCAUUAUUCAUGUUGAAACGCUUAAGCACUUUCUUAACAUAGGCUUGUUGACUGUUGAGACAAAAAAACCUUCUCAACACUCCUAUCCCUGGUAAUUUCCAUUCCCAAUAUCUUUUUUGCAGCACCCAAAUCCUUCAUCUCAAACUCAUCACUCAACUGCUUUUUCAGAAUGUUAAUUUGUGACAUGCUUUUAGCAGCAAUAAGCAUGUCAUCCACAUACAAUAGCAAAUAAACAAAGGAAUCAUCUGAAAGCUUCUUAUGAUACACACAACUGUCAUAUGAACUACGAUUAAAGCCAUUACGAACCAUGAAUGUAUCAAAUCUUUUGUACCACUGCCUAGGAGAUUGUUUCAGACCAUAUAAAGAUUUCUUAAGCAAGCAAACACGGUUUUCCAUACCUGGAAUGACAAAUCCCUCAGGCUGACUCAUAUAAAUUUACUCCUCCAACUCACCAUGAAAAAAUGUUGUCUUCACAUCUAGUUGCUCAAACUCUAGAUCAUGAAGAGCAACCAUAGCAAGUAAGACUCUGAUAGAACUGUGCUUCACAACUGGAGAAAACACUUCAUUAAAGUCAAUCCCCUCCCUCUGAGUAAAGCCUUUUGCUACCAACCGUGCCUUAUAUCGAGGUGCUUCAACCCCUGGAGUGCCUUCCUUUUUCUUGAACACCCAUUUGCAACCUACCACUUUUUGUCCCUUAGGCAAUGUUACAAGCUCCCAAGUCUGAUUCUUGUGAAGAGAUUCAAUUUCUUCACUCAUAGCACCGACCCACUGAUCUGCAUCUGAACAAGAAAUAGCUUCUCUAUAAUUGCUGGGUUCAUGCACAUCAACUGUUUUAGCGACUGACAAGGAAAAUGCAACUAGAUCUGCAUAUGCAUAUCUUUGUGGUGGUCUAAUCUGUCUUCUCUCUCUACCAGUUGCAAUGCUAUAUGGUUCCUGUUGCUGUUGCUCAGGUGCAUCCUCUUGUUGAUCAGGAUCUUGCACCUCAUCCUCUGAAUCACUGGACUGAACUGCUGAAGUAUCAAUAUCAAGCUCCACCUGUUCUCUGACACCGUGAUCUGAUUCUGCUAUUGACUUCUCCCUCUGACUAUCCAAUGAAGCAGACUCAUUAAAUGUCACAUCCCUGCUGAUAAUUAAUCUUGGAGACUUUGGAUCAUUGCACCAUAACCUGUAGCCUUUCACUCCAGAUGCAUACCCUAGAAAUAUGCAUUUUCUUGCCCUUGGCUCAAGCUUACCAUCUCUCACAUAAGCAUAAGCAGGGCAACCAAAUUCUCUCAGCUGAGAUUAAUCAACAGGUGAACCGGACCAGAUCUCAAAAGGAGUUUUGCACUCAAUAGCUGUAGAUGGAGAUCUAUUAACCAAGAAACAGGUUAUAUUAAUUGUUUCAGUUCAGAAAUCCUUUCCCAAUCCUGAAUGUGAGAGCAUGCUUCGUGCUUUAUCACAAAGCGUUCUGUUCAUGCGUUCUGCAAUACCAUUCUGUUGUGGUGUCCUUGUACAAGUGCGAUGUCUCACUAUACCUUCAUUGCUGCAGAAUGCAUUGAACUCACGAUUGCAAAAUUCCAACUCGUUAUUAGUUCUAAGACGUUUAACCUUCUUUUUUGUCUGCUUCUUAAUCAUCGUUUUCCACUUUACAAAGGUUGAAAAUGCCUCAUCUUUUGUUUUCAGAAAAUACACCCACACCAUCCGAGAGUAAUCAUCAAUCAAAGUCAUGAAGUACCUAGCACCGCUCUUGGAAAGGAUUCUGUUAGGACCUCAUAGAUCUGAGUAGAUAUAAUCCACCGUUCCUCUGGUCAUGCGCACUGCCUUUUUUUCGAACUUCACCCUGGUAUGUUUGCCAAACACACAAUGUUCACAAAAGUCCAUAAAUUCUAUUUUCUGCCCGUCCAACAAAUCCUGCUUGCUUAACACAGAUAAUCCUCUUUCACUCAUAUGACCAAGACGCAUAUGCCACAAUUGAGUCUGAUUUUGAUUAUUGAUUUCGGAUGCUACUGCAGCUUCCCCUGAAACUGUACUGCCCUGAAGAAAAUAUAAUCCUGAAACCAAACUGCUCUUCAUGAGUACUAUAGAGCCCUUGCACACUUUGAGAACUCCAUUCUCUGCAUGGUAUCUGAAUCCAUGAGAGUCAAGUGUCCCAAGAGAAAUCAGGUUCCUCUUUAGUCCUGGAACAUGCCAACACUCUAUAGUUCUGACAAUGCCAUCAAACAUCCUCAAUUUGAUGUUACCAAUUCCUUCAACAGAUAAUGCAAGAUCAUUGCCCAGAAACACCUUGCCACUCAUCUGUUUGUAAGUGACAAACCAGUUUCUGUGUGGACACAUGUUAUAAGUAGCACCAGUAUCAAGAAUUCAGGAAUUUUGUCCAUGAUCUGAACUCACAGAUAAAAUUUCUCCAGCACUGUCAUCACCAUCAGAAUCAAUAAAACUAUCAACCACAUUCGCAGAACUUUCUGGUUGCUUUUCCUUUUUAUUUUUCAACUUGGGACAGUCUUUCCUAUAGUGACCUUGGUCCCCGCACUCAAAACAGUUAGCCUUUUUCAUUCUUGACUUAGAUCUGGCCUUAGAUUUCUUCCUGCUAGAAGAACCCUCCCUUGAAUGUGUUCUUCCCCUGCUCACCAAACCUUCCCCCUCAAAUCUUUCUCUAUUAUCUGGAAAUUUCUUUUUCAACUCCUUCGAUUUUAGAGAAUUACUAACAUCGUCUUGUGAAAUACUGUCUUUCCCAUACAACAGAGUAUCAACAAAAGUUUCAUAGGAGGGUGGCAAAGAACAUAACACAAUAAGGGCCUGAUCCUCACUAUCAAUCUUAAUAUCAAUAUUCUUUAGGUCCAUAAUGAUUGAAUUGAAUUCAUCCAGAUGUUCUUUAAUGGGCGUACCUUCGUUUAUUCUCAGAUUGUAAAGUCUUUUCUUUAGAUACAGGCAGUUGGUCAGCGAUUUGGCAGAGUAUAACUCCUUUAAUUUCUUCCAUGCCGCAGAUGCUGAUCUUUCACUAGCAAUCUCGCGUAGGACAUUAUUAGUUACGCUCAUGAAAAUUACACUCAAGGCUCUCUCCUUUAGAUCAACCUUCUCCGCCUCUUUCAUAUCUUCUGGAAAGUUAUCCUUGAUUGCCUUUCAUAGACCUAGCAGGAUCAAGGAAGAUUUGAUUUUAAUCUUUCACAGACUGAAACUCGAUCCACUAUUAAACUUCUUUAUCUCAUACUUCAUUGAAGACGACGCCAUCUAUAAACCCUAGGUUUUGCGCACAAAGCUCUGAUACCAGUUUGUUAUAACAAGCACGCAAAUCUAAGGCACACACAUAAAUCGCACAAUCACACAGUAUUGAAAAGAGAAGAAGAAUAACACAGGAUUUAACGUGGUUCAACCGUAAGGUCUACGUCCACGGGCAAGACAAGAAAAAAAAGUUCCACUAUGAUGAAAAGAGCAAGAUACAAUCAAUCAGAACUCUCAAACCCUAAUCCCAGUGUGUUUUCUGAAUAUCUCACAACUCUACCGCAAAGGAUAGAAUAUUAUAAUAUUUUUACUGAUCCAUACUACCACCACAGAUCUCACUUUUUAUCCCAAUUGGGUCACAGCGCGAAAAUUUUAAGUCGGGUCACAAUUCGUGUCCAUGAAAAAAUAUAUUAAAAAUUCAAGCCACAAAAAUAACAAUUACCUUUUCUCCAUUUUCAUUUUUAAUAGGAACUAAUUGAUGUGGGAAGUUCAAAAAAAUGGGCCAAAGCACCACCUUGCACCUGGUCACCCAUUCCUCCACCAGAAUUGAGAGGAGAGCCUUUAGAAGAUUUGAGCACCAAUGGAGGGUUUGUUUCUUUUGGUAUGCUGUUGCCCUGUCCUGAAUACAAAACCAUACAUAGCAUGGUUUAAAUAACAUUAAUAUUAACUUAGGCAAAAAUUAUCAUUAACAGAAAACAGUCACAUUACCAAUCAAGCUUUAACAAACGAAAUUCAAGAACCCAAUCCAUUGAUUAUACAUCUUUUAUUUUAUUUUUUAAUAUUAGCGGCAGCAUUUAAUUUUUCUCUCCCACUUUUGAGUUAUUUUCCAUAUAUAAGCAAACCUUUUGAGGAUGUUCAGACUGACAAUGUACAGUCAUAUUUCAGAUAUUUCAUCACGUCAUGUUGAAGUUAAAAAAAUAGAUAAGACUGCAUGGGGUCUAUUAAACUUCUAUUCCUACAUGAAAAACCACAUAAAGGUUGUAGACCCUUAUUUUAUAAUGAAUAUGUGCAUUGAGGCCAUGGAAAACCCGAUGAUAAAAAAUUAUAUGACUGUAAGAUAUAAUUGGAGACAUGGAACUGAAUUAUUAAUUCCGUGGCAUGAUCUUGAAAAAAAAAAAAUAUGUUUUUUGGGAAAUUAAUUUAAUUUGAAUAAAAUCUUGUUUUGUUUAAAUUUAAUAUGGGUAGUUCUUAAAUGGAUCUAAUUAAGUUUAAUUGGGCUCCGUGGGCCUAAGAAAGCCUAGUUAGGAAUUUUAAAUGGGACCCAUUUAAUUAUUUUCUAAAAAUUAAAAUAACAAAAUAUCUCUCUCCUCCUUGGCCCCACUCUCUUCCUCACUCCCUAUUGGUGCCUUCCAUUUUUUCCUGUCUUCCUAUUGGUUGAAACACCUCACCCAUAUCCCAGUCUUAUUCGAAUUCUGCAAUCGUAGUUGUUUAAGUCAUCUAAACUUUAUCACCCUAAGACUCCAAACCCUAUCACACCUCUCUCCCAAAACCCUAUAAAUACCCUACUAGAGAAAGGAAGAAAGGAGGGGACGAUGGGAGGAAAGAGGAAGAGAAAAUUCAGAGCUAUAGGAAAUUUAGAGAUAUUCAAGACUCUUUGAGUUCUUCCUUAUUUUUUCUUUUCUUCAAGAAGAUUUUCAUACAAGAUUUCUGGAAGGUCAGUUUUUAUUGUUUUCUUUUCAAGAUCUAUGCCACACAAUAUUUUAAUUCUAUGCUCUUUGUCUUCAAUUUAUUUUAUAUGUUCAUAUAGAUCAUGUAAUCAUGUUUAAUUUGAGGGGAUACACAACUCUGCACAUGUUUAGUUUCUGUCUCUCGUAUUUUUAUUAUUUUUCUUUAUUUUCUGAAUCUGUAAAAAAUUUGUAAAAAUUAUAUUCAUAUUCUACACGAAAUUCUAUUAAUUUUAGGCUCAAGAAUCACUAAAAAAGCUUUAAUAUUUUGUAAGUUAUGGCUGUUUGAAGUUAGGGUUCCUGUAAAAUCUGAUUUGCAGGAUAUCCGACUUGUGGAGCCCAUAUCUCCCUUGUUUCUUAAUAUUUUUGUGUAAAUCUAGUGUCUAAAAUUAAUUUCAGAAUCUUAUGAAUCUUUUCCAAUUGGUUUUGCAUUCAUAUCUGUUGUGGUUAAUGAGUUAUGAAUUUUACAAAAAAGUAGUGCGAUUCUGUUACUGGAAAAAGUUACAAUUUGUGUAGACCAUUCGGCUAGGGUUUUGUUUGAUUUAUAAAUUUUAUGAUCUUGUAUGAUAUGUAGGCUGUCUUCUGUAAUUUUUUUAUGAUUUUUAGGCAUGUAUAACUAUUUUUAAAAAAUCGGAUUUCUUGCUACCGUUAAUCUGCCAGAAUUUGAAAAUUGUAUAUUUAUGCAUGUUCUUGUAUUUUCUUGGGUUCCAAUUGAUAUUUGAUCUAUUUUUCUGUGUUCUUUUAAUUCAAGAAGUGUUAUGAAGUGUUUGGAUCAUGUUAGAAGACUUAGACCAUUAGGUAGUUGUAACUAAUUAGGAAUCUUAACCCUUUAGGAGACUAGAGUUAGAAUCCAAUGUAAAUUGUUAUUAAUAUUUUCUUUAUUUCUUUUAUUUUCUUUAGUUUCUUUAUUUUUUAUUACAAACAAAAUUGGUAAGUAGCCCUAAGGUAAGUACCAAAGAGGGCAUUUGCGUGGAGCUUAUAUGGAGCUAAACGGGAGUAAGCCAGGGAUAUCAUUGCCAUACUAGAAGAGAAGACCCUUUUUUAAGGGUAGCUUGCCCCAAUGGCAACUGCAUUUACCAACAGGUAAGUAGCUCUAAACUUCUCGAAUAACCAUUGGCAUGAAAUUGUAGUAAUAAUAGAACUUUUAUUUGGUAAAUUAAAAUUAACUUUGUUUUUAAUUUAACUGACUUUUGCAUGUAAUUAAUUUAAAUAAAUACUUUGUAAAUUAAAAUUAAUCUUGUUUGUAAAUUAAACUAACAUUGGCAUGAUAAAAAUCUUUAUUAGGUUGUGAUUGUUUGGGCCUUAUGUGAUAUUAGAAUAAAUUACACAUGUACAUAAUUAACUUAGUUCAAUUAUCCUUAGGGUAACUUGGUGAAAAUUAAUUAAUUAGGUUAAAUAGAAACGUAGGGUUAUUUGAAAUUGAAUUUGUUUGUAAAUUAAAUUCUCAAUAAUAAAUUAAUUUUAGUCAUCUGGUAAAUAUCAUUUAAAUAAUUAGCAACCCCAUAGAUAGGAAUUACUUGUGCAUGAAAAUUGUGUGUAAACAACAACCCUUUUUGUGAAUUACUUGCGUGUGUAGGAUUAGAAUUGCAUUUUUAGAAUAAAGUUUAAUAAAGAAAUAAUAAAUAAGAAACAUUAGUAGAGGACUGACACUUAAAUUAACGAGGUUAGACCAGGCGUAAGGGGUGCCUAACACCUUCCCCUUACGUACCCACUAUCCCGAACCUAGACAUUGGGCUAUGGUAAUGACGGUUGUGGAAACUCUGCAAGGAGUAAGUUGCCAUCCAUGACCCUCGGAAGAAACACUGAAUAUGUCCCGGUUAUUACCCGGGUGGCGACUCCUGUCUAUCUAUGCCUUCGUGGCAUAAAUCCUUAGUACCGUGGUAGUGUUAUGGGAAGACGGUACUUACCAGUGGUUUGAUUCUAUUAGGAUUGUAUGAAGUGCAUGUCUAGGAAAUGCUGUCUAAGGAGGUGGUACUUAAGUGAGACCAUUGUGACUCCACCAUCUUUCCUGGGCAUUACCUGGUGCAUUUUAUAUAAUUCUAAUGGAUGAUAUUUCGCCUCACGCCCCCCUCCCACAGUUUGGCAACUCCACUGGGGACUAAAUGGAUAGUUACUCCAACAUGUUUCUAUUAGUCUAAUAUUAUUCCUCUGUUAAACUUUUUGCAUUGCACUACACUAUCACACGGAUCACCCUUACCCUUUUAGCCUCGUUAGUACUAGCCAAGGAGACCAUGGUUCUACUCGAGCUAUGACGAAUUGGUGAAUGCUAGCACCCCAUGCCCGUACCUUCGAGUAUAUAAAAGAGCCACAGCUCCGGCCGUUGUGCUUAAUGGACAAGCUCUCGCAUGGGUGACCCUUUUCCUACCCAAUAAAGCCCAUGAGCCAUAGAUUUCAACCCUAGGUACCCCGUAGAUUUUUGUUGUGCUGGAUUCGUAUCCUUACUGUUCAAACCAUAAGUUCUAGUGGUAGUUGAGAUGAACCUAGGCCUAUGCAUAGGCCCAAUGUGUGUAUAGGCCCAAGUCCAUUUCAAAACCCAUGUUAAGCAAGAGGAUGCUUACUUAUGGUUAAACUUUAAGGAUAUAAAUCCUUUGUUUGUGAGGGAAGGAUCGUCCUGGACCACCCCCUGUUGGUGUGUCCAGUGUACCGUAGCCUAGGAUAGAAUUUUUUCUUACCAUGCACGUGAGAGUUGAAGGUAUAAGGGGGCGAAGAUUCAGUUCUGGAGAUUUUUUUUUUUUUCGGUUCUGAUUCAGUCUUUGGUCCGAUCUUAGUUCAGUUUAUAUGGUCUGGUUUUGGUUCAGUUUUGGUUCUAUUGGUAUGGUUCAGUUUUGGUUUUGUAAAAGUAAAGGCAAAAAAAAAAAAAAAAAAAAAAA